RNAcentral lists this unclassified non-coding RNA (485 nucleotides) under Lodderomyces parapsilosis. RNAcentral's name for it is "Candida parapsilosis sequence contains 18S rRNA gene, ITS1, 5.8S rRNA gene, ITS2, 28S rRNA gene". The stretch from base 159 to 312 matches the Rfam family "5.8S ribosomal RNA". The record is from RNAcentral. Lineage: Eukaryota; Fungi; Ascomycota; Pichiomycetes; Serinales; Debaryomycetaceae.
GAUCAUUACAGAAUGAAAAGUGCUUAACUGCAUUUUUUCUUACACAUGUGUUUUUCUUUUUUUGAAAACUUUGCUUUGGUAGGCCUUCUAUAUGGGGCCUGCCAGAGAUUAAACUCAACCAAAUUUUAUUUAAUGUCAACCGAUUAUUUAAUAGUCAAAACUUUCAACAACGGAUCUCUUGGUUCUCGCAUCGAUGAAGAACGCAGCGAAAUGCGAUAAGUAAUAUGAAUUGCAGAUAUUCGUGAAUCAUCGAAUCUUUGAACGCACAUUGCGCCCUUUGGUAUUCCAAAGGGCAUGCCUGUUUGAGCGUCAUUUCUCCCUCAAACCCUCGGGUUUGGUGUUGAGCGAUACGCUGGGUUUGCUUGAAAGAAAGGCGGAGUAUAAACUAAUGGAUAGGUUUUUUCCACUCAUUGGUACAAACUCCAAAACUUCUUCCAAAUUCGACCUCAAAUCAGGUAGGACUACCCGCUGAACUUAAGCAUAUC